GCGACCGGAGCUUACGGCCUGUGUGGCCAAUAUCAAUAAGCGGAGGAAAAGAAACCAACAGGGAUUGCCCUAGUAACGGCGAGUGAAGCGGCAACAGCUCAAAUUUGAAAUCUGGCCCUCGGGUCCGAGUUGUAAUUUGUAGAGGAUGCUUUGGGUGCGGUGCCUUCCGAGUUCCUUGGAACAGGACGCCUUAGAGGGUGAGAGCCCCGUACGGUUGGACACCAAGCCUAUGUAAAGCUCCUUCGACGAGUCGAGUAGUUUGGGAAUGCUGCUCUAAAUGGGAGGUAAAUUUCUUCUAAAGCUAAAUACCGGCCAGAGACCGAUAGCGCACAAGUAGAGUGAUCGAAAGAUGAAAAGUACUUUGAAAAGAGGGUUAAAUAGCACGUGAAAUUGUUGAAAGGGAAGCGUUUAUGACCAGACCUCUGCCUGGCGGAUCAUCCGGUGUUCUUCACCGGUGCACUUCGCCUGGCUCAGGCCAGCAUCGAUUUCUGCAGGGGGAUAAAGGCCGUGGGAAUGUAGCUCCCUUCGGGGAGUGUUAUAGCCCUAGGCGUAAUACCUCUGCGGGGAUCGAGGUUCGCGCUUCUGCAAGGAUGCUGGCGUAAUGGUCAUCAACGACCCGUCUUGAAACACGGACCAAGGAGUCGAACAUUUAUGCGAGUGUUUGGGUGUUAAACCCUCACGCGUAAUGAAAGUGAACGGAGGUGAGAGCCCCUUUCGGGGUGCAUCAUCGACCGAUCCUGAUGUCUUCGGAUGGAUUUGAGUAAGAGCAUAACUGUUCGGACCCGAAAGAUGGUGAACUAUGCGUGGAUAGGGUGAAGCCAGAGGAAACUCUGGUGGAGGCUCGCAGCGGUUCUGACGUGCAAAUCGAUCGUCAAAUCUGCGCAUGGGGGCGAAAGACUUAUCGAACCAUCUAGUAGCUGGUUACCGCC
Molecule: ribosomal RNA, 929 nt
Filed under: Cryptosphaeria pullmanensis
Lineage: Eukaryota; Fungi; Ascomycota; Sordariomycetes; Xylariales; Diatrypaceae
Description: eukaryotic LSU rRNA
Rfam family: Eukaryotic large subunit ribosomal RNA
Source: RNAcentral